GUGGGGAAUAUUGGACAAUGGGCGCAAGCCUGAUCCAGCCAUGCCGCGUGAGUGAUGAAGGCCUUAGGGUUGUAAAGCUCUUUCAGUAGGGAAGAUAAUGACGGUACCUACAGAAGAAGCCCCGGCUAACUUCGUGCCAGCAGCCGCGGUAAUACGAAGGGGGCUAGCGUUGUUCGGAUUUACUGGGCGUAAAGCGCACGUAGGCGGAUUGGUCAGUUAGAGGUGAAAUCCCGAAGCUCAACUUCGGAACUGCCUUUAAUACUGCCAGUCUCGAGUCCGGAAGAGGUGAGGGGAACUCCUAGUGUAGAGGUGGAAUUCGUAGAUAUUAGGAAGAACACCAGUGGCGAAGGCGGCUCACUGGUCCGGUACUGACGCUGAGGUGCGAAAGCGUGGGGAGCAAACAGGAUUAGAAACCCUAGUAGUCC
Molecule: ribosomal RNA, 425 nt
Filed under: uncultured bacterium
Lineage: Bacteria
Description: partial 16S ribosomal RNA
Rfam family: Bacterial small subunit ribosomal RNA
Source: RNAcentral